AUUGAACGCUGGCGGCAGGCCUAACACAUGCAAGUCGAGCGAGCGGCGGACGGGUGAGUAAUGUAUGGGGACUGCCCGAUAGAGGGGGAUAACUACUGGAAACGGUGGCUAAUACCGCAUACUAUCGGAUAACCAAUAUGGGAUUAGCUAGUAGGUGGGGGAAAGGCUCACCUAGGCGACGAUCUCUAGCUGGUCUGAGAGGAUGAUUGGCCACACUGGGACUGGGACACGGCCCAGACUCCUACGGAGGCAGCAGUGGGGAAUCUUGCACAAUGGGCGAAAGCCUGAUGCAGCCAUGCCGCGUGUGUGAUGAAGGCCUUAGGUUUGUAAAGUACUUUCAGCAGGGAGGCGUUACCCGCAGAAGAAGCACCGGCUAACUCCGUGCCAGCCGCCGCGGUAAUUC
RNAcentral lists this ribosomal RNA (403 nucleotides) under uncultured bacterium. RNAcentral describes it as "partial 16S ribosomal RNA". It matches the Rfam family "Bacterial small subunit ribosomal RNA", at positions 30 to 526 of the family's 1533-position model. The record is from RNAcentral.